This is a long non-coding RNA of Heterocephalus glaber (naked mole-rat), 862 nucleotides long. The record is from Ensembl. Lineage: Eukaryota; Metazoa; Chordata; Mammalia; Rodentia; Bathyergidae.
CAAGGCUGGACACAGUGGGCAGGAGGCCAGUUUAAGGAGGACUGCUGAAGCCCUGCUGUCAGGCUCAGAAGAGCCCAAGGAACAAGGGACACAGGUGACCUGGAGGACACAGGGUGGCUGCCAGACUGGAAAGGGGACAAGGUUGCACUUAUGGACCACAGAGGCACUGCCAUGCUCUCCCUUCAGUGCCACACUGUCCAUCAGUCCAUCAGUAUUGCCACUUCUCUGAAAUCACAGUUGCGCAUUUCAUCUUCAGGUACCACCAGAAGUCCUCGCCCAAGGCUAGAGAAGUUGCAGAGUGUGAUUUAUUAUGGAUUAUGAAAAGUGUCCAUUACAGGCUCUUCCUGGGCCUGGAAGGGCUACCACCAUUCUUCAUUGGCUGAUGCUCCCAUGUGGCUCAGGGCUCCAGUUGCCUGCUCCAGGGAGCCUUCAAUGACUAUCCUUUAAUGCUCCCACCCACUCCUCAUGUGCAAAGGGUUUAAGCUUAUGAAACACCAAAGCCAAGAAUAAAGUUCUUUGACUGGAAUUUCUCCUUUCCUGUAACACCACCUACAAGAAACUUUUAAUUUGUGUGGGUUAAAGAAGCAUCUUUGAUGAAGUGGAAAAGAGACAGUAUAAUAAAGUUACAAAACACAGUGCAACUGCCACAGCUCAGAGAAAAACACCAGAUUGGGAAUCAGGAGACUGGCCCUGGGAGUAUGGAGGAUCGAACUUGGGACCUUGCGCUUGUGAGGCAGGCACCGGAACCACUGAGCCAAAUCCCUGACCCUUGUUCCUGAUUUUAGAAGGAAAGCUUUCAGUUUUUCCUCCUUUAAUAUGAUGCUGGCAGUAGUUUUCCAUAAAUGAUUUUUAUCAGAUUGAG